GAAGGCCUUAUCUUUAUGCA
RNAcentral lists this small nuclear RNA (20 nucleotides) under Arabidopsis thaliana (thale cress). RNAcentral's name for it is "snRNA_18897". The record is from RNAcentral. Lineage: Eukaryota; Viridiplantae; Streptophyta; Magnoliopsida; Brassicales; Brassicaceae.